RNAcentral lists this ribosomal RNA (1244 nucleotides) under metagenome. Its description in RNAcentral is "bacterial LSU rRNA". It matches the Rfam family "Bacterial large subunit ribosomal RNA", at positions 1564 to 2817 of the family's 2925-position model. The record is from RNAcentral.
UGAAUACGAGAUGCUACGGCGUCGAAGCAGUGUAUGUCAGACUUCCAAGAAAAGCUCGCAAUGUCAUAAAUAAAGAAUGCCUGUACCAUAACCGACACAGGUGGGUAGGUAGAGUAUACUAAGGGGCGCGAGAUAACUCUCUCUAAGGAACUCGGCAAAAUAACUCCGUAACUUCGGGAGAAGGAGUGCCUUCUUUAAGAAGGUUGCAAUAACAAGAUCCAAGCAACUGUUUAUCAAAAACACAGGUCUCCGCUAAGUCGUAAGACGAUGUAUGGGGGCUGACGCCUGCCCAGUGCCAGAAGGUUAAAGAAGUUGGUUAGCUUUUGCGAAGCUGAUGACUGAAGCCCUGGUGAACGGCGGCCGUAACUAUAACGGUCCUAAGGUAGCGAAAUUCCUUGUCGGGUAAGUUCCGACCCGCACGAAAGGCGUAAUGAUUUGAAUACUGUCUCGGAGAGGGACUCGGUGAAAUAGACUUGUCUGUGAAGAUGCGGACUACCUGCACCAGGACAGAAAGACCCUAUGAAGCUUUACUGUAACUUGAAAUUGAAAUUGGACUUUAUUUGCGCAGUAUAGGUGGAAGGCGUUGAAAGUAAUCUUGCGGGAUUAGUGGAGCCAUCAGUGAGAUACCACUCCUAUAAUGUUAGAUUUCUAACUUUGGAUCAUGAUCUGGUCAAAGAACAGUUUCAGGCGGGCAGUUUGACUGGGGCGGUCGCCUCCCAAAUGGUAACGGAGGCGUACAAAGGUUUCCUCUGAACGGGUAGAAAUCGUAUCUAGAGUGUAAAGGCAUAAGGAAGCUUGACUGUGAGACCUACAAGUCGAGCAGGGACGAAAGUCGGUCUUAGUGAUCUGACGGUGCUGAGUGGAAAGGCCGUCACUCAACGGAUAAAAGUUACUCUAGGAUAACAGGCUGAUCUCCCCCAAGAGUUCACAUCGACGGGGAGGUUUGGCACCUCGAUGUCGGCUCAUCGCAUCCUGGGGCGGUAGUACGUCCCAAGGGUUGGGCUGUUCGCCCAUGAAAGCGGUACGCGAGCUGGGUUCAGAACGUCGUGAGACAGUUCGGUCCAUAUCCGGUGUAGGCGUUAGAAUAUUGAGAGGAGCCUUCUUUAGUACGAGAGGACCGAGAAGGACAUACCUCUGGUGUACCAGUUAUCGUGCCAACGGUAAACGCUGGGUAGCUAUGUAUGGAGAGGAUAACCGCUGAAAGCAUCUAAGUGGGAAGCCCACCUCAAGAUGAGUAUUCUCAU